RNAcentral lists this ribosomal RNA (878 nucleotides) under Acinetobacter sp. EKN4-1. RNAcentral describes it as "bacterial SSU rRNA". It matches the Rfam family "Bacterial small subunit ribosomal RNA", at positions 125 to 1044 of the family's 1533-position model. Lineage: Bacteria; Pseudomonadati; Pseudomonadota; Gammaproteobacteria; Moraxellales; Moraxellaceae. The record is from RNAcentral.
UCCCUUUUGGGGGAGGGUAACUCCAUUGUUAUUUCGGGGGACACUUGCAAAGCGAAAACCCCACAUGCCCUGGGGAAACAUGGCUUUUAGCCCUUCUAAUAAGACCCGAAUUCGAUUACUAUGGGGGGAAGCUCCCAGGGACUUUUACCGGCUCUGAAUGGAUUUCCCCCGCUCGGGUAUUGAGACCGCCCCAAAUUCUUGGGGGAGCACCAGUGGGGAUUUUGGCAACGGGGGCAACCCUGAUCCACCAUCCGUGUGUGAAUAAGCCUUCAGUUUUAAAGCACUUUAAGCGAGGAGGAGGUACUGUUAAUACUACCACUGGACGUUACUGCAGAAUAAGCACCGGCUAAUCUGUGCCACAGCCGCGGUACUACCGAGGGUCCAAGCGUUAUUCGAUUUUGGGAGUAAAUGAUAGGCGUAAUUAUUCGGAUGUGAAAUCCCCGAGCUUAACUUGGGAAUUGCAUUCGAUACUGGUUAGCUAGAGUGUGGGAGAGGAUGGUAGAAUUCCAGGUGUAGCGGUGAAAUGCGUAGAGAUCUGGAGGAAUACCGAUGGCGAAGGCAGCCAUCUGGCCUAACACUGACGCUGAGGUGCGAAAGCAUGGGGAGCAAACAGGAUUAGAUACCCUGGUAGUCCAUGCCGUAAACGAUGUCUACUAGCCGUUGGGGCCUUUGAGGCUUUAGUGGCGCAGCUAACGCGAUAAGUAGACCGCCUGGGGAGUACGGUCGCAAGACUAAAACUCAAAUGAAUUGACGGGGGCCCGCACAAGCGGUGGAGCAUGUGGUUUAAUUCGAUGCAACGCGAAGAACCUUACCUGGCCUUGACAUACAAGAAACUUUCCAGAGAUGACUUUCCCUUCGGGAACCACAUACGGUGCUGC